ACGACUCUCGGCAACGGAUAUCUCGGCUCUCGCAUCGAUGAAGAACGCAGCGAAAUGCGAUACUUGGUGUGAAUUGCAGAAUCCCGUGAACCAUCGAGUCUUUGAACGCAAGUUGCGCCCGAGGCCUACUGGCCGAGGGCACGUCCGCCUGGGCGUCACGC
This 161-nucleotide ribosomal RNA is filed under the name Casearia arguta. RNAcentral's name for it is "ITS1". It matches the Rfam family "5.8S ribosomal RNA". Rfam says of the family: 5.8S ribosomal RNA (5.8S rRNA) is a component of the large subunit of the eukaryotic ribosome. Lineage: Eukaryota; Viridiplantae; Streptophyta; Magnoliopsida; Malpighiales; Salicaceae. The record is from RNAcentral.